UUGGCUGUAAUGUUCUUUCAUUUGCUUGAUUGUCUAUUCGAAUGAGUGCUUAUUUCUUAUUUGAUGGCAAUAAAAAGACAGAGUUGCAGGCAUGUCUCAAAGAUUUCCUAUUCCAUCAAUUAAUUUGUUGUCAUUUUUGCUACUUUUCCCUUUUGACAUCCCAAUAGACAGAAGUCGGCCCAAAAAUUGUACUGUGUUACAUCCUGUCUUUGCCCUGUCAUGCUGUAAAUGAUUAAUGUAUGUCAGCUCCUGCAUAGUAAGAUGCUUUGUUAAUUGGUACUAUUUACUUCUGGCCUACGUGAAAUGAAGCUUAUGCAUGUUAAUAUUAGAACUGAACCUUUUUGUUGUUUGGCCUUUUCAUUUGCAUUGUGAAAAUAGAAAAUGUGCUGUAAUCAUGCUUUUAACCUAAUUUUCUGAUUUUUCUAAUAACAAGCUCGUCUUCUUCCUUGCUAAUAGCUGAGUAUAAGUUCUACGACCAUCAGUCUUUCGGAGCCUCACAUCUUAACUCAUUUCAGGGUGAAAAUCCUAAGAAACCAGGCAGUCCCCACAAUGUUCGUCUAUAUUCAAUUGCAUCCACCAGAUAUGGGGACUCUUUUGAUGGGAAGACGGCCAGCUUGUGUGUCAGACGAGCUGUCUACUAUGAUCCUGAGACAGGAAAAGAAGACCCUUCCAAAAAUGGUGUUUGCAGCAACUUUCUGUGCGACUCAAAGCCUGGUGACAAAGUGAAGAUCACAGGUUAAAUCCAAAUAAUCCUUUUACCGAUGUUAUUCAAAGAAGACUCAUACCAACACUACUCGUCUUCCAUGCAUUGCAUUCUAAAAUUUUCAUCUCUGAUCACAUUAAUUGCAUUUUGGCGCAAUGAGUAGGUUUUCCCAAGCUUUCAAAAGAGUGAAAAGGAAAUGAUCUUUUAGGCAGCAUACUGUUGAAAAUUGUCUUGUCAACAGGAAAUUAUGUUGUUCAGUAGACCAUUUAGGUUGUACGCAUAACAGAUUGAAGAUAUCUGCCUUUUCCUUGUGUACUUGUAAAUUCCAGCUGCUAUGCUUAUUUUUCUCCUAAGGGGUCGUUUGGUUCAAUUGUGGGAUAAACAAGGAUAUCCCAUGAGAUUAGCUAUCCACCUUCUAUAUAGGAUAGCUAAUCCUACCAUUUUGGUAUAAAAUUUAUCCCACCAUUAACGAAUACCCACAACCAAACAUGGGAUAAAUACAAUCCCAUGUUCUAUCUCGGGAUUAGUAUUCUUAUCCCGGUAAUCAAACAACCCCUGAGAGUAAGCAUCAGAGUUUUGUCUGGCACUCUCUCUUGAAUUUUUUACCUUGACUAUCUCUGAUCAUAUGACAAAUCCAUAAAUGCCUAUUUUGUACUAGUGAUUUCCUUGCUAUUAUUUAGAAAGGACCCUUCCCUUAGUCUGUUGUAUGGUCCUUCUUGAUUUAACAUUGGCAUAACUAACCCUUUUGCAGUUGCAAACUUCCCAAUAAAGAACUUCUUAACUCAAUGGUGUUCCUACACUGUCACCUUUUGCUCCUAACCAUGUGCUUCUAAUAAAUAAGAUACCCUGCUGAGAAUUAAAAUUCCUGUUGAUACUUCACAUCUAAAUAGUCUCUGUCAUUUGGCUCUUGGAUUCUUAUAAUUUGUUGGUGGGUUGCAUAUAUAGGGUGAAAUACUUGAGAUUCAGUUUUGUCCGCCAUUGACCACCCUUUGGAUGUUUCUGCAGGUCCUUCUGGUAAGAUAAUGCUUCUACCAGAAGAUAAUCCAAAUGCCAAACACAUCAUGAUUGGAACUGGAACUGGUGUGGCUCCCUUCCGAGGCUACCUUCGUCGUAUGUUCAUGGAAUCGGUUCCAACUAAGUUUAAUGGCCUUGCUUGGCUUUUCCUUGGGGUUGCAAACACUGACAGCCUUCUAUAUGACGACGAGUUCACCAAGUAUCUCAAUGACUACCCAGGCAAUUUCAGAUAUGACCGUGCUCUUAGCCGUGAACAAAAGAACAAUAAAGGGGGGAAGAUGUAUGUCCAGGAUAAAAUUGAGGAAUACAGUGAUGAGAUCUUCAAACUGCUGGAUGAAGGGGCCCACAUCUAUUUCUGUGGGUUGAAGGGGAUGAUGCCCGGAAUCCAAGAUACCCUGAAGAGGGUUGCUGAGGCGAGAGGUGAGAGCUGGGAGCAGAAGCUUUCACAGCUCAAAAAGAACAAGCAAUGGCAUGUUGAAGUCUACUGAUCAAGAAACGUCAAUCGUUGCAUUUGUUUAAUGAUUAUUGAUUGUUGUCAAGUGAACUUAGCAAGCAGUUUAGAUGACACAUUGUACUGCUAGUAGACAUAAAAAGUAUUCAAUGCUGCAAGGGAAAUGAAAUAAUAACUGUUGGUACCUUCAGGCAGUUGAUACUUUGCACUUCUGUAUUUCUUUUGCAAAUAUCUCUGAUAGGCAUUUCACAGCUGCUCUAUUGCAAGGGAAAUAAUAAAUUGCUAUGAGUGCUUAUUGUUGCCUGUGUUUCUGCAAAUGCUUGGUUGUUAAUAUAUUGUAGCUGAAAUGAAAGCCAGGAGAGGGACUAAGCUGCACCACACGUUUCAGCUUAUUUUAUCCUCAGGAUGGAAAAAGUGCUUGACAUCAAAAUGAGUGGUUUUGAGUUCUGUUGCACAGGAGUAGGCGUUCAGGACAAUAGUUGAAAAAAAACAGUAUAUGGAUUUGAAGUAGAAAAAGGUUUAUAGAAAUUUAAGGUUUAAAAACAUUAUGUGUGUAUAGAAGGGCAGCCCAAUGCACUAUUCCGCUAUGUGCGGGGUCCGGUGAAGGGCCAGACUAUAAUGGUCAAUUAUAUAUAUAUAUAUAUAUAUAUUGGUUUUCUACUUGACGUUUCGUACCUGCAUUGGGUCUAAUUAAAUGCUUUCACAAGUCUCCAAUACAUCAUUAUGUUCUUUUCUAGAAACAUUAUAUAUAGACUUCGAUGAUAUCAUCACCAACCACUUUCCAGACAAUUCUAAAAAUUUUACUCAAAAGAGUGCGCAAAUUACAAUAAUCAGAAAGUCUGCAAAAGGAUACAAUCAAGUGAUGAUAUCUAAUUUCAUUUCUUCUAGGUCUAAUUUCUUUUGUUGCUAAAAUGGUUCUUCUAGGUAUAUAAUAGUAUUAAUUAUUAAAUUUGAAGAUAGAAGAUAUUGAGGUAGGAAUUAGGUUCAUAGAGUAGCAUAUUCGGCAAUCCUAAAAGUUGGUAUCAAUAUUUA
RNAcentral lists this long non-coding RNA (3200 nucleotides) under Nicotiana tabacum (common tobacco). RNAcentral describes it as "long non-coding RNA (NTAB_LNC003193)". Lineage: Eukaryota; Viridiplantae; Streptophyta; Magnoliopsida; Solanales; Solanaceae. The record is from RNAcentral.